Molecule: RNase P RNA, 193 nt
Filed under: Comamonadaceae bacterium
Lineage: Bacteria; Pseudomonadati; Pseudomonadota; Betaproteobacteria; Burkholderiales; Comamonadaceae
Description: partial RNase P RNA component class A
Rfam family: Bacterial RNase P class A
About the family: Ribonuclease P (RNase P) is a ubiquitous endoribonuclease, found in archaea, bacteria and eukarya as well as chloroplasts and mitochondria. Its best characterised activity is the generation of mature 5'-ends of tRNAs by cleaving the 5'-leader elements of precursor-tRNAs.
Source: RNAcentral
GAAGUCCGCCAGACCGCCGCUGGUGCCGCAUGGGAAACCUGGCACUGGAGGAAUGUCCGGACUGCAAAGGGCAGCGCAGGAGGUAACACCUCUCCACCGCGAGGUGAGGAUCAGAGCAACAGAGACGAGUCGCGGCGGGCAACCGCCGCGGGUGAAACGGGCAAUCUCUGCGCGCAGCAAUACCAAAUAGGCC